GCGAACCAAGUCCCGCGGAAACGUCGCUCGCGGCGCGCGGCCCCGGGGAUGCGACCCGGGGGCGCGCGUCCCGACGAGCUCCGAACGAAACCCUCCGGGCGCGGCGAGCGCCAAGGAAUAGAAGCGGAAAGGGCGGCCGCCCCACCCCGUGGGGAUCCGCCGCCCGUCUGUGAAUCUCUCAGACGACUCUCGGCAACGGAUAUCUCGGCUCUCGCAUCGAUGAAGAACGUAGCGAAAUGCGAUACUUGGUGUGAAUUGCAGAAUCCCGUGAACCAUCGAGUCUUUGAACGCAAGUUGCGCCCGAGGCCACUCGGCCGAGGGCACGCCUGCCUGGGCGUCACGCCACCCAUCGCCACCCCCCCACCACCCGCGGCAUUCCCAUGCCCGGCCGGGGGUGCGGAGACUGGCCGUCCGUGCCCGAGUCCUCGGCGCGCGGUCGGCAGAAAAGGAGGACACCGUGCGGCGGGACACGGCGUGUGGGGGUUGAGAGGCGAUUCGUCGCCGAUCGUACGUCGCGCCCGCAGUCCGCCGCUCGCAGUGUCGCCCGAGGGACCAGACCCGCCCGCAGCCGCGGGCGCUCGGACCGCGACCCCAGGUCAGGCGUGGCCACCCGCUGAAUUUAAGCAUAUCAAUAAGC
Molecule: ribosomal RNA, 637 nt
Filed under: Litsea tomentosa
Lineage: Eukaryota; Viridiplantae; Streptophyta; Magnoliopsida; Laurales; Lauraceae
Description: eukaryotic LSU rRNA
Rfam family: 5.8S ribosomal RNA (bases 185-340)
Source: RNAcentral